CUAAGGGGACCGCCCGGACAACGGGGAGGAAGGUGGGGAUGACGUCAAGUCAGCAUGGCCUUUAUGUCCAGGGCUACACACGUGCUACAAUGGUUGGUACAAAGGGUUGCCAAGCCGUGAGGCGGAGCCAAUCUCAAAAAGCCAACCUCAGUUCGGAUUGCAGUCUGCAACUCGACUGCAUGAAGUUGGAAUCGCUAGUAAUCGCUGAUCAGCAGGCAGCGGUGAAUACGUUCCCGGGCCCUU
This 243-nucleotide ribosomal RNA is filed under the name uncultured Holophagae bacterium. Its description in RNAcentral is "partial 16S ribosomal RNA". It matches the Rfam family "Bacterial small subunit ribosomal RNA", at positions 1140 to 1382 of the family's 1533-position model. Lineage: Bacteria; Pseudomonadati; Acidobacteriota; Holophagae. The record is from RNAcentral.